Molecule: ribosomal RNA, 301 nt
Filed under: uncultured bacterium
Lineage: Bacteria
Description: partial 16S ribosomal RNA
Rfam family: Bacterial small subunit ribosomal RNA
Source: RNAcentral
CAGUAGCCGCGGGAAUACAGAGGGUGCAAGCGUUAAUCGGAAUUACUGGGCGUAAAGCGCGCGUAGGUGGUUUGUUAAGUUGGAUGUGAAAGCCCCGGGCUCAACCUGGGAACUGCAUCCAAAACUGGCAAGCUAGAGUACGGUAGAGGGUGGUGGAAUUUCCUGUGUAGCGGCGAAAUGCGUAGAUAUAGGAAGGAACACCAGUGGCGAAGGCGACCACCUGGACUGAUACUGACACUGAGGUGCGAAAGCGUGGGGAGCAAACAGGAUUAGAUACCCGCGUAGUCCCUGUCUCUUAUAC